GAUCUACUCCCUCCGUUCGGAUUUACUUGUCAUAGAAAUGGAUGUAUCUAGACAUUUUUUAGUUCUAGAUACAUCCAUUUCUGCGACAAGUAAUUCGGGACGGAGGGAGUAUAUA
Molecule: non-coding RNA, 115 nt
Organism: Triticum aestivum (bread wheat)
Lineage: Eukaryota; Viridiplantae; Streptophyta; Magnoliopsida; Poales; Poaceae
Source: Rfam